Molecule: small nuclear RNA, 136 nt
Organism: Balaenoptera ricei (Rice's whale)
Lineage: Eukaryota; Metazoa; Chordata; Mammalia; Artiodactyla; Balaenopteridae
Product: U4 spliceosomal RNA
Exons: 1
Source: RefSeq, a predicted model, not a curated record
AGCUUUGCACAGUGGCUGUAUCGUAGCCAAUGAGGUUUAUCCGAGGUGCAAUUAUUGCUAAUGAAAACUUUUCUCUAACGCAGAAAGGAUGUGACAUAUAGUCAGCCUUGGCAAUGUUUGAGAGUCUCUACAGAGA